RNAcentral lists this ribosomal RNA (1291 nucleotides) under uncultured Thermoplasmataceae archaeon. RNAcentral describes it as "16S ribosomal RNA". It matches the Rfam family "Archaeal small subunit ribosomal RNA", at positions 52 to 1351 of the family's 1478-position model. Lineage: Archaea; Methanobacteriati; Thermoplasmatota; Thermoplasmata; Thermoplasmatales; Thermoplasmataceae. The record is from RNAcentral.
UGUGAGUCAAGGGGUCGUAAGACACCGGCGUACUGCUCAGUAACACGCGGACAAUCUACCCCCAGGUGGGGGAUAACCUCGGGAAACUGAGGCUAAUACCCCAUAGUUGUCAUGUGCUGGAAUGCUUUGACGAUGAAAGAAUUUCGCCUGAGGAUGAGUCUGCGGCCUAUCAGGUAGUAUGUGGUGUAAAGGACCACAUAGCCUAAGACGGGUACGGGCCUUGAAAGAGGGAGCCCGGAGAUGGACUCUGAGACACUAGUCCAGGCCCUACGGGGCGCAGCAGGCGCGAAAACUGUGCAAUGCGCGCAAGCGCGACACGGGAAGCCUGAGUGCCUUAACUAUGUUAAGGCUUUUCUUGAUCCUAAAAAGCUCAAGGAAUAAGAGCUGGGUAAGACGGGUGCCAGCCGCCGCGGUAACACCCGCGGCUCGAGUGGUAGUCACUUUUAUUGAGCCUAAAGCGUUUGUAGCCGGAUUUGUAAAUCUCUAGGAAAAUACUUCUGCUUAACUGAAGAAAUUUUGGAGAGACUGCAAAUCUAGGGACCGGGUGAGGUUGAAUGUACUUCUGGGGUAGGGGUAAAAUCCUGUAAUCCUGGAAGGACGACCGGUGGCGAAGGCGUUCAACUAGAANCGGAUCCGACGGUGAGGAACGAAGGCUAGGGGAGCAAACCGGAUUAGAUACCCGGGUAGUCCUAGCUGUAAACACUGCCCACUUGGUGUUGCAUCUCCGGUAAGGGGGUGCAGUGCCGUAGCGAAGGUGUUAAGUGGGCCGCUUGGGGAGUAUGGCCGCAAGGCUGAAACUUAAAGGAAUUGGCGGGGGAGCACCGCAACGGGAGGAGCGUGCGGUUUAAUUGGAUUCAACGCCGGAAAACUCACCGGAGGCGACCUGUGUAUGAGAGUCAACCUGAUGAAUUUACUCGAUAGCAGGAGAGGUGGUGCAUGGCCGUCGUCAGCUCGUACCGUAGGGCGUUCACUUAAGUGUGAUAACGAGCGAGACCCCCAUCUUCAAUUGCUAAGCUAACCGUGAGGUUGGUAGAACUUUGAAGGGACCGCCAGUGCAGAACUGGAGGAAGGAGGGGUCGACGGCAGGUCAGUACGCCCCGAAUCUUCCGGGCAACACGCGCGCUACAAAGGACAGGACAAUGGGCUGCGACCUCGAAAGGGGAAGCCAAUCCCGAAACCUGUUCGUAAUUAGGAUUGAGGGCUGUAACUCGCCCUCAUGAAUCUGGGAUUCCGUAGUAAUCGCGGUCAACAUCCCGCGGUGAUAUGCCCCUGCCCCUUGUACACACCGCCC